Molecule: long non-coding RNA, 290 nt
Filed under: Solanum tuberosum (potato)
Lineage: Eukaryota; Viridiplantae; Streptophyta; Magnoliopsida; Solanales; Solanaceae
Description: long non-coding RNA (STUB_LNC007816)
Source: RNAcentral
UCGUUUUCUUGUGAAAGAUGAGCCCUUUAAUUUGAGAUCACUCGUGCUUCUCACCCAUGAUCCAUCCGUUCAAAAAGCAUGGUUUGAGUUAGGUAAUUGGUACAAAAAUGAUAUUCCCACCUCAUUUCAUACUGCUAAUGGAAAAUAUUUCUGGGAUUACUUUUCGAAAGAACCAAAAUUAGGUGAUAUUUUCAAUGAUGUAAUGGCUAGUGAGUCGGGAUUGAUUGUCAAUAUGCUUAUCACGGAGUGUAGGCACGUUUUUGAGGGGUUGACAUCAUUGGUAGACGUUG